RNAcentral lists this ribosomal RNA (252 nucleotides) under uncultured bacterium. Its description in RNAcentral is "partial 16S ribosomal RNA". It matches the Rfam family "Bacterial small subunit ribosomal RNA", at positions 524 to 775 of the family's 1533-position model. The record is from RNAcentral.
UACGAAGGGGGCUAGCGUUACUCGGAUUGACUGGGCGUAAAGGGCGCGUAGGCGGCUUGUACAGUCAGACGUGAAAUUCCUGGGCUCAACCUGGGGGCUGCGUUUGAUACGUGCGGGCUUGAGUUCGGAAGAGGGUCGUGGAAUUCCCAGUGUAGAGGUGAAAUUCGUAGAUAUUGGGAAGAACACCGGUGGCGAAGGCGGUUCUCUGGGCCUGUACUGACGCUGAGGAGCGAAAGCGUGGGGAGCAAACAG